Molecule: ribosomal RNA, 441 nt
Filed under: uncultured bacterium
Lineage: Bacteria
Description: partial 16S ribosomal RNA
Rfam family: Bacterial small subunit ribosomal RNA
Source: RNAcentral
CCUACGGGCGGCAGCAGUGGGGAAUAUUGCACAAUGGGGGAAACCCUGAUGCAGCAACGCCGCGUGAAGGAAGACGGUUUUCGGAUUGUAAACUUCUGUUCUUAGUGAAGAAUAUUGACGGUAGCUACUGAGCAAGCCACGGCUAAAUACGUGCCAGCAGCCGCGGUAAUACGUAGGUGGCAAGCGUUGUCCGGAAUUACUGGGUGGAAAGGGAGCGCAGGCGGGAAGCCAAGUCAGCAGUGAAAACUAAGGGCUUAACUUGUGGACUGCAGUGGAAACGGGUUUGCUUGAGUGAAGUAGAGGUUGGCGGAAUUCCGAGUGUAGCGGUGAAAUGCGUAGAUAUUCGGAGGAACACCGGUGGCGAAGGCGGCCAACUGGGCUUUAACUGACGCUGAGGCUCGAAAGUGUGGGGAGCAAACAGGAUUAGAUACCCUUGUAGUC